CUGCGGCAGCGACACUGUGUGUUGUUGGGUAGGGGAGCGUUCUGUAAGCCUGUGAAGGUGUGUCGUGAGGCAUGCUGGAGGUAUCAGAAGUGCGAAUGCUGACAUAAGUAACGAUAAAGCGGGUGAAAAGCCCGCUCGCCGGAAGACCAAGGGUUCCUGUCCAACGUUAAUCGGGGCAGGGUGAGUCGACCCCUAAGGCGAGGCCGAAAGGCGUAGUCGAUGGGAAACGGGUUAAUAUUCCCGUACUUGGUGUUACUGCGAAGGGGGGACGGAGAAGGCUAUGUUGGCCGGGCGACGGUUGUCCCGGUUUAAGUGUGUAGGUGUGUGUUCCAGGUAAAUCCGGUUCACUUUAACACUGAGGCGUGACGACGAGGCACUACGGUGCUGAAGCAACAAAUGCCCUGCUUCCAGGAAAAGCCUCUAAGCAUCAGGUAACAUCAAAUCGUACCCCAAACCGACACAGGUGGUCAGGUAGAGAAUACCAAGGCGCUUGAGAGAACUCGGGUGAAGGAACUAGGCAAAAUGGUGCCGUAACUUCGGGAGAAGGCACGCUGACACGUAGGUGAAGUGAUUUACUCAUGGAGCUGAAGUCAGUCGAAGAUACCAGCUGGCUGCAACUGUUUAUUAAAAACACAGCACUGUGCAAACACGAAAGUGGACGUAUACGGUGUGACGCCUGCCCGGUGCCGGAAGGUUAAUUGAUGGGGUCAGCGCAAGCGAAGCUCCUGAUCGAAGCCCCGGUAAACGGCGGCCGUAACUAUAACGGUCCUAAGGUAGCGAAAUUCCUUGUCGGGUAAGUUCCGACCUGCACGAAUGGCGUAAUGAUGGCCAGGCUGUCUCCACCCGAGACUCAGUGAAAUUGAACUCGCUGUGAAGAUGCAGUGUACCCGCGGCAAGACGGAAAGACCCCGUGAACCUUUACUAUAGCUUGACACUGAACAUUGAGCCUUGAUGUGUAGGAUAGGUGGGAGGCUUUGAAGUGUGGACGCCAGUCUGCAUGGAGCCGACCUUGAAAUACCACCCUUUAAUGUUUGAUGUUCUAACGUGGACCCGUUACCCGGGUUGCGGACAGUGUCUGGUGGGUAGUUUGACUGGGGCGGUCUCCUCCUAAAGAGUAACGGAGGAGCACGAAGGUUGGCUAAUCCUGGUCGGACAUCAGGAGGUUAGUGCAAUGGCAUAAGCCAGCUUGACUGCGAGCGUGACGGCGCGAGCAGGUGCGAAAGCAGGUCAUAGUGAUCCGGUGGUUCUGAAUGGAAGGGCCAUCGCUCAACGGAUAAAAGGUACUCCGGGGAUAACAGGCUGAUACCGCCCAAGAGUUCAUAUCGACGGCGGUGUUUGGCACCUCGAUGUCGGCUCAUCACAUCCUGGGGCUGAAGUAGGUCCCAAGGGUAUGGCUGUUCGCCAUUUAAAGUGGUACGCGAGCUGGGUUUAGAACGUCGUGAGACAGUUCGGUCCCUAUCUGCCGUGGGCGCUGGAGAACUGAGGGGGGCUGCUCCUAGUACGAGAGGACCGGAGUGGACGCAUCACUGGUGUUCGGGUUGUCAUGCCAAUGGCACUGCCCGGUAGCUAAAUGCGGAAGAGAUAAGUGCUGAAAGCAUCUAAGCACGAAACUUGCCCCGA
This 1620-nucleotide ribosomal RNA is filed under the name Salmonella enterica. RNAcentral describes it as "partial 23S ribosomal RNA". It matches the Rfam family "Bacterial large subunit ribosomal RNA", at positions 1200 to 2802 of the family's 2925-position model. The record is from RNAcentral. Lineage: Bacteria; Pseudomonadati; Pseudomonadota; Gammaproteobacteria; Enterobacterales; Enterobacteriaceae. RNAcentral also lists the same sequence under 1 other name.